RNAcentral lists this unclassified non-coding RNA (151 nucleotides) under uncultured Derxomyces. Its description in RNAcentral is "sequence contains ITS2". The record is from RNAcentral. Lineage: Eukaryota; Fungi; Basidiomycota; Tremellomycetes; Tremellales.
UAGACUUCACCCAAUCAUUUUUUAAUUGAAGUGAUUGUUAACGGUGCUUUGGACGUCUUGCCAUUAACCUUGGCUCGUCUUAAAUGUCUAAGUGGAUAUUAGCGUGAUAAGUCUUCGCUAUCAUUGUUCACUAUAAAAUCUCUAUAUCAAG